This 1354-nucleotide ribosomal RNA is filed under the name Klebsiella pneumoniae. Its description in RNAcentral is "bacterial SSU rRNA". It matches the Rfam family "Bacterial small subunit ribosomal RNA", at positions 72 to 1429 of the family's 1533-position model. The record is from RNAcentral. Lineage: Bacteria; Pseudomonadati; Pseudomonadota; Gammaproteobacteria; Enterobacterales; Enterobacteriaceae.
UUGCUCUCGGGUGACGAGCGGCGGACGGGUGAGUAAUGUCUGGGAAACUGCCUGAUGGAGGGGGAUAACUACUGGAAACGGUAGCUAAUACCGCAUAAUGUCGCAAGACCAAAGUGGGGGACCUUCGGGCCUCAUGCCAUCAGAUGUGCCCAGAUGGGAUUAGCUAGUAGGUGGGGUAACGGCUCACCUAGGCGACGAUCCCUAGCUGGUCUGAGAGGAUGACCAGCCACACUGGAACUGAGACACGGUCCAGACUCCUACGGGAGGCAGCAGUGGGGAAUAUUGCACAAUGGGCGCAAGCCUGAUGCAGCCAUGCCGCGUGUGUGAAGAAGGCCUUCGGGUUGUAAAGCACUUUCAGCGGGGAGGAAGGCGAUAAGGUUAAUAACCUUGUCGAUUGACGUUACCCGCAGAAGAAGCACCGGCUAACUCCGUGCCAGCAGCCGCGGUAAUACGGAGGGUGCAAGCGUUAAUCGGAAUUACUGGGCGUAAAGCGCACGCAGGCGGUCUGUCAAGUCGGAUGUGAAAUCCCCGGGCUCAACCUGGGAACUGCAUUCGAAACUGGCAGGCUAGAGUCUUGUAGAGGGGGGUAGAAUUCCAGGUGUAGCGGUGAAAUGCGUAGAGAUCUGGAGGAAUACCGGUGGCGAAGGCGGCCCCCUGGACAAAGACUGACGCUCAGGUGCGAAAGCGUGGGGAGCAAACAGGAUUAGAUACCCUGGUAGUCCACGCCGUAAACGAUGUCGAUUUGGAGGUUGUGCCCUUGAGGCGUGGCUUCCGGAGCUAACGCGUUAAAUCGACCGCCUGGGGAGUACGGCCGCAAGGUUAAAACUCAAAUGAAUUGACGGGGGCCCGCACAAGCGGUGGAGCAUGUGGUUUAAUUCGAUGCAACGCGAAGAACCUUACCUGGUCUUGACAUCCACAGAACUUUCCAGAGAUGGAUUGGUGCCUUCGGGAACUGUGAGACAGGUGCUGCAUGGCUGUCGUCAGCUCGUGUUGUGAAAUGUUGGGUUAAGUCCCGCAACGAGCGCAACCCUUAUCCUUUGUUGCCAGCGGUUAGGCCGGGAACUCAAAGGAGACUGCCAGUGAUAAACUGGAGGAAGGUGGGGAUGACGUCAAGUCAUCAUGGCCCUUACGACCAGGGCUACACACGUGCUACAAUGGCAUAUACAAAGAGAAGCGACCUCGCGAGAGCAAGCGGACCUCAUAAAGUAUGUCGUAGUCCGGAUUGGAGUCUGCAACUCGACUCCAUGAAGUCGGAAUCGCUAGUAAUCGUAGAUCAGAAUGCUACGGUGAAUACGUUCCCGGGCCUUGUACACACCGCCCGUCACACCAUGGGAGUGGGUUCAAUAAGAAGUAG